Gadus macrocephalus (Pacific cod) is the source of this 2398-nucleotide long non-coding RNA. RefSeq lists it as uncharacterized. NCBI's taxonomy places the organism in Eukaryota, Metazoa, Chordata, Actinopteri, Gadiformes, Gadidae. The transcript has 4 exons. The record is from RefSeq and is a predicted model, not a curated record.
CAGGGACCUGGUCUGCUGGGUAUCUCAAUCGAGUCUGUUGCAAUUUGUCCUUGAUAGGAAAAUGGACAUACUCCAUACCAGACUUUGAAGUGAUCCUGACCUCCCUGGGUGUCUUCAGGAGUGUCCUGGUGGUGGAAGGCAGAGGGAUCAACAUCCAUCCAGUCAUCGAGGUCAUCCUCCAAAGCAGAACGAUCCUCAAAUGACUCAUCCAAGUCCAAGGAGUUGUCCAUGUCACCAACAGGCGCAAGAACACCGGAUGGACUGCUGGACAAGCUGGCAUCAGCCACAUGGUGUUCUGUGACACAAACACUGGCAGUGCUUUCAGCUAUCCUAUUCAUCACUUGUUUAGCAGAUCUCCAUGAACGGAGGUACUGCCUUGCCCGUAACUGUUUUUCCUCACUCAUACUGUGAAAUAAAAUGUUUCACAUUUUAACGUGUGAUUGAGGUUUCAAUACAUUCUAGCCAUAAACUGUCUUAUAGCAGGCUUCAGACCAAAGAUUUGUGAUGCAAAUGCGGGCUUCAGACCAAAGAUUUGCGAUGAAAAUACAUGCAACAGGGUUCACACCCAUGCAACCUCUAUCAACAUCACCACCGUUUCCAUAACGACACCUUUAUUAUACCACUUGUUUUUACUAACUAGCUUGCUGGUAACGUUAACCAAUAAAGCUGUAGCAUACUUGGCAUACUUGUUACGCGACUGAUGUUUUGCAAACAGUAGCGUUCCUCACGCAAAGUGGAUAAUUAUUUUCUCCUACUCUCCUAAUAAUAUCGUGAAGCCUCUGCUGGCCUUGACUGACGUGAGUGUCAAGACGUCAUCAGCACUGAAGUAAAAGUGUUCUAAAACCUUGUAACUGCAAUACAACUGUCUUAUGACGACUUGCAACGUUCAAUUCACGCUGCUGCAACUUCUAUCUACAACGGUUUUGUUACGUUGCAUUGUGAAUCUUUGUUCUGAAUUGGCUUUUUAAGGCUGACAAGGCUUUAUACACAUACCUGACAAGAAUGAGGUAAACGGGGACUGGAGGGAAUGAUCUAUGAUGCAAAAAGAAAUGCAUAGGAAAUUAAUGUAAUUGUGUUAAACUUUUAAACAGUACAGUUCAUGAUACAUAUACAGUGUGAAACAGGACUAGGCCUAGGUUUUGUGCAGGUAAAGAAGAAGAUGGGAAUGUGUAAAUUCAUCUUAAAUCAAAACUGAAAGGUCCUACAAAACAUUGGGCCAGGUGGUUUAAUGGCACCAUAUUCUGGCUUUGCAUGACCUUUAUAUUGCAAUUGCAAAUUGCAUCUCAAGUUCAGGAUUACUAUUAUUAGCCUAUUAUAGUGAUUGGUGGAUUUCUUUAAAAUUGACUGACAACAAGUGAUGUCAAGAUCUCUGGUCGAUUUUUAUUUCAUUUUUUAGAACAUGACGUCACACAAGCGUCAAUCGAGUACUCGUUCAUAUUUCCUCCUAGACUGGGUAUGAUAUAUUUUUUCGUAGGAUAAGUCCCGGAUUCUCGCCUCUGAUUGGUUAGAAGGGCUCUCCUUUAAAUCGUCUUUCGAUUAGUCCUAGCUGUUUGCGGGAGUUUAUGGUAAGGAUUAGGGGUUAACCCAUUUGAACUACGCCAGUUGAUCGCGCCUCUUGUGCUGAUUGAAGAAAUUGACGGCAGCCUCCCCAGACCGACGCACAAUCUACGAUUGCCAGGCAAAUUUCCUCCCAUUCCCGCCAACACUUCACGGUGGGGACCCAGACCUACUGAUACGUGGUCGUUUUCGCUUGAAAUCCUCAAUAAGUUUGGUACAACACCUUCUGCCAACUGCUACCUAUUAGAUUUCGCUACCUACUUCGGCGCAUGCGCAUGACAUGCGUAAAAUUGUAAAAUACACAUACUAUACCCCUGAAAUCUCCAAUAAAGACAUUUUAAUACAGUAUACAAUUAUGCUCCCCAUAUUCUUAUGUCAGGUAGCGUAUUUCAUCUGUAGACCAACUGCCUCUAUCAAACGAUGCUCCCACUACAGAAUCACGUUAUUGUACACCACUAACCCCAUGUACACUAAGAAUAUGGGGAGCAUAAUUUGAUACUGUGUUAUUAUAACGUCUUUAUUGGAGAUUUCAGGGGUACAGUAUGUGUAUUUUACACCAAUACCACAACGCGGAAUCCAUAGCGUAAUCAUGCGCAUGCGCAGAACAGACCAGGAAGCACAAUAUGAUCGGUAGCAGAAAUUGGCAGAACACCCUGCUUGACGGAGUAAAAGAAGACAUGGCGAGGAACGGAAAGCUACGGGACCGAACUGAAGACGCUGGGAUCCACCAUUUAAGAGACAUCCGGAAUCAACAGGACAUCUUCACAACCCUGACUCGGCAGCGACAGUUGAGCCAGCCUCUCUGCAGCUUAAGGACAACUUCAGCUUGAUCGAAAACUGG